UACGUAGGGUGCAAGCGUUAAUCGGAAUUACUGGGCGUAAAGGGUUCGUAGGUGGCCAACUCAGUCAGACGUGAAAUCCCUCAGCUCAACUGGGGAGCUGCGUCUGAUACUAGAUGGCUCGAGUGCAGGAGAGGAACGCGGAAUUCCAGGUGUAGCGGUGAAAUGCGUAGAUAUCUGGAGGAACACCGGUGGCGAAGGCGGCGUUCUGGACUGCAACUGACACUGAGGAACGAAAGCCAGGGGAGCAAACGGG
RNAcentral lists this ribosomal RNA (253 nucleotides) under uncultured bacterium. RNAcentral describes it as "partial 16S ribosomal RNA". It matches the Rfam family "Bacterial small subunit ribosomal RNA", at positions 524 to 776 of the family's 1533-position model. The record is from RNAcentral.